AGAUUGAACGCUGGCGGCAGGCCUAACACAUGCAAGUCGAGCGGCAGCACGGGUACUUGUACCUGGUGGCGAGCGGCGGACGGGUGAGUAAUGCCUAGGAAUCUGCCUGGUAGUGGGGGAUAACGCUCGGAAACGGACGCUAAUACCGCAUACGUCCUACGGGAGAAAGCAGGGGACCUUCGGGCCUUGCGCUAUCAGAUGAGCCUAGGUCGGAUUAGCUAGUUGGUGAGGUAAUGGCUCACCAAGGCGACGAUCCUUAGCUGGUCUGAGAGGAUGAUCAGCCACACGUGGACUGAGACACGGCCCAGACCUCCGUACGGGAGCAGCAGGUAGGGAAUAGUGGACAAGUGGGCACGAAGCCUGACUCCAGCAAUCGGCCGCGGUGAGUGAGUGAAGGUCCGUUAAGGUUACGUAAA
Molecule: ribosomal RNA, 416 nt
Filed under: uncultured soil bacterium
Lineage: Bacteria
Description: bacterial SSU rRNA
Rfam family: Bacterial small subunit ribosomal RNA
Source: RNAcentral